This 253-nucleotide ribosomal RNA is filed under the name uncultured bacterium. Its description in RNAcentral is "partial 16S ribosomal RNA". It matches the Rfam family "Bacterial small subunit ribosomal RNA", at positions 524 to 776 of the family's 1533-position model. The record is from RNAcentral.
UACGUAGGAUGCAAGCGUUGUCCGGAUUUACUGGGCGUAAAGCGCACGCAGGUGGCUGAGUCAGUCGAUUGUGAAAGCCCUGGGCUUAACCUGGGAAUUGCAGUCGAUACUACUCAGCUAGAGUAUGGGAGAGGGCAGUGGAAUUCCCGGUGUAGCGGUGAAAUGCGUAGAUAUCGGGAGGAACAUCAGUGGCGAAGGCGGCUGCCUGGCCCAAUACUGACACUCAGGUGCGACAGCGUGGGGAGCAAACAGG